RNAcentral lists this ribosomal RNA (499 nucleotides) under uncultured bacterium. Its description in RNAcentral is "bacterial SSU rRNA". It matches the Rfam family "Bacterial small subunit ribosomal RNA", at positions 29 to 519 of the family's 1533-position model. The record is from RNAcentral.
AACGAACGCUGGCGGCGCGCUUAACACAUGCAAGUCGAACGAGAAGGCGUAGCAAUACGCUUGUACAGUGGCGAACGGGUGAGGAAUACAUGGGUAACCUACCCUCGAGUGGGGGAUAACCCGCCGAAAGGCGGGCUAAUACCGCGUACGCUUCCGAUCUUGCGGGAUCGGAAGGAAAGCUGCACCAUGGGUGUGGCGCUCAAGGAUGGGCUCAUGUCCUAUCAGCNGUUGGUAGGGUAAUGGCCUACCAAGGCAUCGACGGGUAGCUGGUCUGAGAGGACGAUCAGCCACACUGGCACUGCGACACGGGCCAGACUCCUACGGGAGGCAGCAGUGAGGAAUAUUGCGCAAAUGGGCGAAAGCCUGACGCAGCGACGCCGCGUGGGGGAUGAAGGUCUUCGGAUUGUAAACCCCUUUCGGGUGGGAAGACGGCCCUCGACAACGAGGGCGGACGGUACCACCAGAAGCAGCCACGGCUAACUUCGUGCCAGCAGCCGCC